UACGUAGGGGGCAAGCGUUGUCCGGAUUUAUUGGGCGUAAAGAGCGUGUAGGCGGCCAUGUAGGUCCGUUGUGAAAACUCGAGGCUCAACCUCGAGACGCCGAUGGAAACCAUGUGGCUAGAGUCCGGAAGAGGAGAGUGGAAUUCCUGGUGUAACGGUGAAAUGCGCAGAUAUCAGGAAGAACACCCGUGGCUAAGGCGGCUCUCUAGUACGGUACUGACGCUGAGACGCGAAAGCGUGGGGAGCGAACAGG
This 253-nucleotide ribosomal RNA is filed under the name uncultured bacterium. Its description in RNAcentral is "partial 16S ribosomal RNA". It matches the Rfam family "Bacterial small subunit ribosomal RNA", at positions 524 to 776 of the family's 1533-position model. The record is from RNAcentral.